GCUUAACCGGAGAAGUGCAUCGGAAACUGGAUAACUUGAGUGCAGAAGAGGGUAGUGGAACUCCAUGUGUAGCGGUGGAAUGCGUAGAUAUAUGGAAGAACACCAGUGGCGAAGGCGGCUACCUGGUCUGCAACUGACGCUGAGACUCGAAAGCAUGGGUAGCGAACAGGAUUAGAUACCCUGGUAGUCCAUGCCGUAAACGAUGAGUGCUAGGUGUUGGAGGGUUUCCGCCCUUCAGUGCCGGAGCUAACGCACUAAGCACUCCGCCUGGGGAGUACGACCGCAAGGUUGAAACUCAAAGGAAUUGACGGGGGCCCGCACAAGCGGUGGAGCAUGUGGUUUAAUUCGAAGCUACGCGAAGAACCUUACCAGGUCUUGACAUCUUGCGCCAACCCUAGAGAUAGGGCGUUUCCUUCGGGAACGCAAUGACAGGUGGUGCAUGGUCGUCGUCAGCUCGUGUCGUGAGAUGUUGGGUUAAGUCCCGCAACGAGCGCAACCCUUGUUACUAGUUGCCAGCAUUAAGUUGGGCACUCUAGUGAGACUGCCGGUGACAAACCGGAGGAAGGUGGGGACGACGUCAGAUCAUCAUGCCCCUUAUGACCUGGGCUACACACGUGCUACAAUGGACGGUACAACG
Molecule: ribosomal RNA, 637 nt
Filed under: uncultured bacterium
Lineage: Bacteria
Description: bacterial SSU rRNA
Rfam family: Bacterial small subunit ribosomal RNA
Source: RNAcentral